This 497-nucleotide ribosomal RNA is filed under the name uncultured bacterium. Its description in RNAcentral is "partial 16S ribosomal RNA". It matches the Rfam family "Bacterial small subunit ribosomal RNA", at positions 28 to 507 of the family's 1533-position model. The record is from RNAcentral.
GAUGAACGCUGGCGGCGUGCCUAAUACAUGCAAGUCGAGCGAACAGACGAGGAGCUUGCUCCUCUGACGUUAGCGGCGGACGGGUGAGUAACACGUGGAUAACCUACCUAUAAGACUGGGAUAACUUCGGGAAACCGGAGCUAAUCCCGGAUAAUAUAUUGAACCGCAUGGUUCAAUAGUGAAAGACGGUUUUGCUGUCACUUCUAGAUGGAUCCGCGCCGCAUUAGCUAGUUGGUAAGGUAACGGCUUACCAAGGCAACGAUGCGUAGCCGACCUGAGAGGGGGAUCGGCCACACUGGAACUGAGACACGGUCCAGACUCCUACGGGAGGCAGCAGUAGGGAAUCUUCCGCAAUGGGCGAAAGCCUGACGGAGCAACGCCGCGUGAGUGAUGAAGGUCUUCGGAUCGUAAAACUCUGUUAUUAGGGAAGAACAAAUGUGUAAGUAACUAUGCACGUCUUGACGGUACCUAAUCAGAAAGCAACGGCUAACUACGUG